AUGGAGAAGCAAACCAGAGGCUACAAAGCUCACGUUCUCGUUAUCCCCUUCCCUGCCCAAGGCCACAUUAAUCCAAUGCUCCAAUUCUCCAAGCGCUUACUCUCCAAAGGCAUCAAACCCACCUUCGCCAACACCGUCUACAUCUCCAAGUCUAUGCACGGUGCCGACGCCGCCUGCUCCAUCGCCCUCGCCACCAUCUCCGACGGCUACGACGACGGUGGACAUGCCCAGGCCGAAAGCCCUGAGACCUACCUCGCCAAGUUCGAGGAAGUUGGGUCGCGAACUCUAGCCUCUCUCAUCAAGGAGCUCGUCGACGUCGGCCAGCCGGUUGAUGCCGUGAUCUACGACGGAUUCUUGCCGUGGGCUCUCGAUGUGGCCAAGGAAUUUGGGCUGGUCGGAGUUGCGUUUUUCACUCAAUCUUGCGCCGUCAACAACAUAUAUUACCAUGUCCAGCGGGGGAUUCUUCCGGUUCCGCUGUCGGGUUCGCCGGUUCUGGUUCCAGGGUUGCCGCCGUUGGAGCCAUGGGAGACGCCUUCUUACGUGCAUGAUCAUGGGGCGUAUCCUGGUUUCGUUCACAUGGUGCUGAAUCAGUUCUGUAAUAUUGAAAAAGCGGACUGGGUCCUCUUCACCGUUUUCUACAAGUUGGAGGAAGAGGUGUUGGAUUGGAUGUCAAAACUGUGGCGGGUGAGAGCAAUAGGCCCAACGCUUCCAUCCAUGUACGUGGACAAGCGGCUCCAAGACGACAAAGACUACGGCAUCAACCUCUUCAAGCCACACUCCGCCGCCUGCAUGGACUGGCUCAACCAGAAGCCGCCCGGCUCCGUCGUCUACGUCUCCUUCGGCAGCAUGGCCGAUCUCGACUCGGAACAAAUGGAAGAGGUCGCCUGGGGAUUAGACCAAAGCAACUACAGCUUCCUGUGGGUGGUGAGAGCUUCCGAACAAGCCAAGCUGCCGAAAGAUUUCGAGAAGUCCGAGAAGGGGCUGGUGGUGGCGUGGAGUCCACAGCUUGAGGUUUUGUCUCACGAAUCGAUGGGCUGCUUUGUCACGCACUGUGGGCUCAACUCAGUGUAUGAAGCGCUGAGCUUGGGAGUGGCUAUGGUAGCGGUGCCGCUAUGGACGGACCAGACGACGAACGCCAAGUACGUGGAGGAUGUUUGGGGAGUGGGAAUCCGAGCGGGAAAGGACGAGAAAGGGGUUGUGCGAAGAGAAGUGUUGGAACAUUGCUUAAGAGAGGUGAUGGAAGGAGAGAGAGGAAAGCGGAUUAAGGAGAACUCGGCCAAGUGGAAGAGAUUGGCGAUUGAGGCGGUUUCCGAAGGCGGUUCUUCCGAAAAGAACGUCGAUGAACUUGUGGAUUUUCUCCAGAAUCUUAACACUUCGUUUUGAGUGUUGGCUAGCUGGCCCCGCAUGCAUCCUGGGGAUUUUGGCCAGAUAAUGCUGAUUUUACCAAAACGUAUAAGUUCAAUCAAACACGUGUUAGAGGACUCCAAUCUUCGUUUGGAAAGCAGCCCUGAAGAAUCAAAGGCCUGCCCAAACACGCAAUCUGAUUAAAACCCUUUGACUGAUUGUAGCCGCACGACGACGGCAAGUGUUGAUUUAUUUUAUAUAUUUAUCGUGGUUUAUAAAAAUGAAGGGAUCAACGUCGCUAGCUGCUAACCAAGUUAUAUUGUAAAGAACAUCAACCGCACCAAAAUAGGAUGCCACUUGGGAUGACAAAAUGAUUCUGAUGGUAAAUGAGUCAUAUUAUUUGUACAGAAUAUAUAUUACAGAAAUAUUUAUAGAAGAAUUAAAAUAUUUAUUUUGUCUCUGUAA
This is an RNA transcript of Diospyros lotus (date-plum), 1809 nucleotides long. It is a transcript of the gene named UDP-glycosyltransferase 74G1-like, with no coding region annotated. NCBI's taxonomy places the organism in Eukaryota, Viridiplantae, Streptophyta, Magnoliopsida, Ericales, Ebenaceae. The record is from RefSeq and is a predicted model, not a curated record. The transcript has 3 exons.